AAUACCGGAUAUUAUGAGAUUCUCGCAUGGGAAACUUAUGAAAGCUAUAUGCGCCAAGAGAGAGCCUUGCGUUCCAUUAGCUAGUUGGUGGGGUAACGGCCCACCAAGGCGACGAUGGAUAGCCGGCCUGAGAGGGUGAACGGCCACAAGGGGACUGAGACACGGCCCUUACUCCUACGGGAGGCAGCAGUGGGGAAUAUUGGACAAUGGGCCACAAGCCUGAUCCAGCAAUUCUGUGUGCACGAUGAAGGUCUUCGGAUUGUAAAGUGCUUUCAGUUGGGAAGAAGAAAGUGACGGUACCAACAGAAGAAGCGACGGCUAAAUACGUGCCAGCAGCCGCGGUAAUACGUAUGUCGCAAGCGUUAUCCGGAUUUAUUGGGCGUAAAGCGCGUCUAGGCGGAAAAAUAAGUCUGAUGUUAAAAUGCGGGGCUCAACUCCGUAUUGCGUUGGAAACUGUUUUUCUAGAGUACUGGAGAGGUGGGCGGAACUACAAGUGUAGAGGUGAAAUUCGUAGAUAUUUGUAGGAAUGCCGAUGGAGAAGUCAGCUCACUGGACAGAUACUGACGCUAAAGCGCGAAAGCGUGGGGAGCAAACAGGAUUAGAUACCC
RNAcentral lists this ribosomal RNA (608 nucleotides) under uncultured bacterium. Its description in RNAcentral is "bacterial SSU rRNA". It matches the Rfam family "Bacterial small subunit ribosomal RNA", at positions 165 to 787 of the family's 1533-position model. The record is from RNAcentral.